RNAcentral lists this ribosomal RNA (433 nucleotides) under uncultured bacterium. Its description in RNAcentral is "partial 16S ribosomal RNA". It matches the Rfam family "Bacterial small subunit ribosomal RNA", at positions 29 to 507 of the family's 1533-position model. The record is from RNAcentral.
AACGAACGCUGGCGGCAUGCCUAACACAUGCAAGUCGAACGAGACCUUCGGGUCUCGUGGCGCACGGGUGCGUAACGCGUGGGAACCUGCCCUUAGGUUCGGAAUAACUCCCCGAAAGGGGUGGUAAUACCGGAUAAUGUCUUCGGACCAAAGAUUUAUCGCCCUUGGAUGGGCUCGCGUUGGAUUAGCUCGUUGGUAGGGUAAAAGCCUACCAAGGCGACGCUGCUCAGCUGGUCUGAGAGGAUGAUCAGCCACACUGGGACUGAGACACGGCCCAGACUGCGACGGGAGGCAGCAGUGGGGAAUAUUGGAGAAGGGGCGAAAGGCUGAGCCAGCAAUGCCGCGUGAGUGAUGAAGGCCUUAGGGUUGUAAAGCUCUUUUACCCGGGAUGAUAAUGACGGUACCGGGAGAAUAAGCACCGGCUAACUCCGUG